RNAcentral lists this ribosomal RNA (523 nucleotides) under uncultured bacterium. RNAcentral describes it as "bacterial SSU rRNA". It matches the Rfam family "Bacterial small subunit ribosomal RNA", at positions 29 to 526 of the family's 1533-position model. The record is from RNAcentral.
AACGAACGCUGGCGGCAGGCUUAACACAUGCAAGUCGAGCGCCCCUCCUUCAAGCAAGCUUGAAGGAAUUUUUCCUUGAAAAGAGAAGAUCAGAAAGCUUCUAAAGAAGCUUUCUUGAUGGAGGGGAGCGGCAGACGGGUGAGUAACGCGUGGGAAUAUGCCCUUCACUACGGAAUAGCCCAGGGAAACUUGGAUUAAUACCGUAUACGCCCUUUGGGGGAAAGAUUUAUCGGUGAAGGAUUAGCCCGCGUUGGAUUAGGUAGUUGGUGGGGUAAUGGCCUACCAAGCCUACGAUCCAUAGCUGGUUUGAGAGGAUGAUCAGCCACACUGGGACUGAGACACGGCCCAGACUCCUACGGGAGGCAGCAGUGGGGAAUCUUAGACAAUGGGGGCAACCCUGAUCUAGCCAUGCCGCGUGAGUGAUGAAGGCCUUAGGGUUGUAAAGCUCUUUCAGCUGGGAAGAUAAUGACGGUACCAGCAGAAGAAGCCCCGGCUAACUCCGUGCCAGCAGCCGCCGUAAGAC